Molecule: ribosomal RNA, 790 nt
Filed under: Bacillus licheniformis
Lineage: Bacteria; Bacillati; Bacillota; Bacilli; Caryophanales; Bacillaceae
Description: bacterial SSU rRNA
Rfam family: Bacterial small subunit ribosomal RNA
Source: RNAcentral
GCUCCCUUAGGUCAGCGGCGGACGGGUGAGUAACACGUGGGUAACCUGCCUGUAAGACUGGGAUAACUCCGGGAAACCGGGGCUAAUACCGGAUGCUUGAUUGAACCGCAUGGUUCAAUCAUAAAAGGKGGCUUUUAGCUACCACUUACAGAUGGACCCGCGGCGCAUUAGCUAGUUGGUGAGGUAACGGCUCACCAAGGCGACGAUGCGUAGCCGACCUGAGAGGGUGAUCGGCCACACUGGGACUGAGACACGGCCCAGACUCCUACGGGAGGCAGCAGUAGGGAAUCUUCCGCAAUGGACGAAAGUCUGACGGAGCAACGCCGCGUGAGUGAUGAAGGUUUUCGGAUCGUAAAACUCUGUUGUUAGGGAAGAACAAGUACCGUUCGAAUAGGGCGGCACCUUGACGGUACCUAACCAGAAAGCCACGGCUAACUACGUGCCAGCAGCCGCGGUAAUACGUAGGUGGCAAGCGUUGUCCGGAAUUAUUGGGCGUAAAGCGCGCGCAGGCGGUUUCUUAAGUCUGAUGUGAAAGCCCCCGGCUCAACCGGGGAGGGUCAUUGGAAACUGGGGAACUUGAGUGCAGAAGAGGAGAGUGGAAUUCCACGUGUAGCGGUGAAAUGCGUAGAGAUGUGGAGGAACACCAGUGGCGAAGGCGACUCUCUGGUCUGUAACUGACGCUGAGGCGCGAAAGCGUGGGGAGCGAACAGGAUUAGAUACCCUGGUAGUCCACGCCGUAAACGAUGAGUGCUAAGUGUUAGAGGGUUUCCGCCCUUUAGUGCUGCAGCAA